UACGGAGGGGGUUAGCGUUGUUCGGAAUGACUGGGCGUAAAGCGCGCGUAGGCGGAUCAUCAAGUCGGGGGUGAAAUCCCAGGGCUCAACCCUGGAACUGCCUCUAAUACUGGCAAUCUAGAGUCCGAGAGAGGUGAGUGGAAUUCCGAGUGUAGAGGUGAAAUUCGUAGAUAUUCGGAGGAACACCAGUGGCGAAGGCGGCUCACUGGCUCGGUACUGACGCUGAGGUGCGAAAGCGUGGGGAGCAAACAGG
This 253-nucleotide ribosomal RNA is filed under the name uncultured bacterium. RNAcentral describes it as "partial 16S ribosomal RNA". It matches the Rfam family "Bacterial small subunit ribosomal RNA", at positions 524 to 776 of the family's 1533-position model. The record is from RNAcentral.